This is a long non-coding RNA of Drosophila mauritiana, 708 nucleotides long. RefSeq lists it as uncharacterized. Lineage: Eukaryota; Metazoa; Arthropoda; Insecta; Diptera; Drosophilidae. The record is from RefSeq and is a predicted model, not a curated record. The transcript has 2 exons.
CAGCAUUCCCUAACCAAAUGCCGAUGUAUACAUACUGUGCACACAUAGCAUUUUUGCUCAACAUAUAUAGUAGCCGCUUCUCCACCGACUUCACCAGGCAGCGAAGGCGCAAUUCAUAGCCUAAGAAGAAUAUUGAUUUUCAAUAUUAUAUGGCGACCGUGACAGGACCAGGAUGUAAGGCCUAAGGACAAAUGGCCUAAGGACUACAAAGGAUUAGGGACUACUAAAAUCACUAUCAAAUCAAAAAUUGUAUUGGACUGGACUGGAGAUACGGAUGGAAAGCAAAUUUCUGAGUGAGUAGAGUGAGGCAAUGAGAAACAAGCGCGGCGGUGUGCGGCAACAGUUAAAAACGAGAAUAGCUCACCUAAAAUGGCUAUUAUAUUCUCAUACGCCACCACCAGCCUGGUCAACUGCUCGCAAACUACAAGCAGAUCUUGAUUUCUUACAAAUAUAAUUAAAAAAAGAGCCAAUAAAAACCCAAAGCCCAACUCUCAUUCAUCAAAACCACAAAUAAUACAAAAAUUAAAUCUGCAACACCACAACCCAGAGCCAGCAUACCAGUUUACAAGGAACAAUGCCCGUUGGAUUGUGAGGCACCAUGGAGCGCCUAUUGCAAGUACACUUGCAAACAUUGUAAGGACAUCAACCAGCAGAAGGAAGGAUGUGCGACAACCAGCACCGGCACCGCUUAUAAUCAAAAAAAAAAAA